Molecule: long non-coding RNA, 764 nt
Organism: Oncorhynchus nerka (sockeye salmon)
Lineage: Eukaryota; Metazoa; Chordata; Actinopteri; Salmoniformes; Salmonidae
Exons: 3
Source: RefSeq, a predicted model, not a curated record
CUGACGGAUCUCUUUCUGCAUAAAGGGAGAAGAGAGAGUGAGAACACGAACCAGAGACUAACCACAACAGAGAAAAGUUUCCCGUGAGGUGCUGCUCCUUCAUGACAUCCAUGUACGACCUGGACUGCAGCUUUGGGUCCGGCGUUUUGCCCCCUGCGCGAGAGAGCACCAACAAGACACAGGGCAGCCGAUUAGAACACGCCCCAGGACCCGGAUUCAUAAAACACAGAGAUAACAGGCGAGGAUAAAGCCAUCACUGAUGCAGGGGUCCUGGGCUGUGCUCUCCAGAAUACGUACACUUUCAGUGCCAAGGGUCCUUCUGCAGUCAGACUUCAACCGGCAGAAAAGAAGCCUAGAAAAUGUCUCUUUACCAUUAGUAACACUUUGGAAAAGGGUUGGAACUCACACACAUAAGCAUACCACCUGUGAUUUCUUUUUACGUCACUCAAAAGAAAAUUCCUCCUGGGGCUCAAACCUUAAAUAAAUGAAAAUAUGUAAAAUACCCUCUAGAUUGUGAAGUAUUGAUUAAUAAAAUUAAAAUCUAAAUUGUUCCCAAAUCUAGGAAUCUUCUUGUGAGAUAAAUGUGUAGCUACUUUAUGUAACCCAGGGUAGGGAGAGCAUCUAUAUGUAGUUACACGUUUACAUCAGGGGCCGUGAAGCCUACGAUUAGUUCCAGGGGGGGGACAGGCUGCCUGCUACUAAGCAGCUGGUAGUUUGACAUCAGUCGAUUGCUAUUUCAACUUCGUAAACGUAGAUCUUGGCUU